GUGGCCAAGUGAUAGUGGCACACGGUGGAUGCCUUGGCAUCAGGCGCCGAUGAAGGACGUGGGAGGCCGCGAUAGGCCACGGGGAGCUGUCAACCGAGCUUUGAUCCGUGGGUGUCCGAAUGGGGAAACCUAGCCCGAGUUGUGUCGGGUUGCCGCACCUGAAUGUAUAGGGUGGUUGGUGGUGACGCGGGGAAGUGAAACAUCUCAGUACCCGUAGGAAGAGUAAACAAAAGUGAUUCCCCUAGUAGUGGUGAGCGAACGGGGAAGAGGCUAAACCGUAUGCGUGUGAUAGACGGCAGUCGUUGCGUGUGCGGGGUUGUGGGGCGCAUCUUUUCGGGUCUGUCGGCCCGGAGCGCUGAUGCUGGUGAUAGUUGAAUCCGUUGGGAAGCGGAACCGUAGUGGGUGAGAGUCCCGUAGACGAAGUUGCCGGCUAGGUGUUGGUGUGUUCCCGAGUAGCGCGGAGCCCGUGAAAUUCCGUGUGAAUCUGGCAGGACCACCUGCUAAGCCAAAAUACGUCCUGAUGACCGAUAGUGCACUAGUACCGUGAGGGAAAGGUGAAAAGUGCCCCGGUGAGGGGUCGUGAAAUAGUACCUGAAACCGUGUGCUGUCAAGCCGUCAGAGCUGAAGCUUGUCUUUGGUGAUGGCGUGCCUUUUGAAGAAUGAGCCUGCGAGUCAUGGUGUGUGGCGAGGUUAACCCGUGUGGGGUAGCCGUAGGGAAACCGAGUCUGAAUAGGGCGUUUGAGUCGCAUGCUGUGGACCCGAAGCGGAGUGAUCUACCCAUGUCCAGGGUGAAGCGGGGUAAGACCUCGUGGAGGCCCGAACCCACCAGGGUUGAAAACCUGGGGGAUGAGGUGUGGGUAGGGGUGAAAGGCCAAUCAAACUCCGUGAUAGCUGGUUCUCCCCGAAAUGCAUUUAGGUGCAGCGUCACGUGUUUCUUGCUGGAGGUAGAGCUACUGUUUGGCUGAUGGGCCCUACAAGGUUACUGACGUCAGACAAACUCCGAAUGCCGGUUAAGUUAGAGCGUGGCAGUGAGACUGCGGGGGAUAAGCUUCGUAGUCGAGAGGGAAACAGCCCAGAUCAUCAGCUAAGGCCCCUAAGCGUGUGCUAAGUGGGAAAGGUUGUGGAGUUGCCCAGACAACCAGGAGGUUGGCUUAGAAGCAGCCAUCCUUUAAAGAGUGCGUAAUAGCUCACUGGUCAAGUGGUUCUGCGCCGAUAAUGUAGCGGGGCUUAAGUACACCGCCGAAGCUGUGAAGCUCAAGACUUGUUCUUGGGUUGGUAGGGGAGCGUCGUGCAUCCGGAGAAGCUGCCGAGUGAUCGUGUGGUGGAGGUGUGCGAGUGAGAAUGCAGGCAUGAGUAGCGAAAGCAACGUGAGAAACGUUGCCGCCGAUUGACUAAGGGUUCCUGGGGCAGGUUAAUCCGCCCAGGGUGAGUCUGGACCUAAGGCGAGGCCGACAGGCGUAGUCGAUGGAUAACGGGUUGAUAUUCCCGUACCCGUGCACGAGCGCCCAGUACCGAGGCGACGGAUGCUAACCACGCCGGCUCCUUCUGAGACUUCGGGUCGAGGUUGUGGCUGGUCUGGGAACCGAUGUUGUAGUAGGUAAGUGAUGGGGUGACGCAGGAGGGUAGCUCUACCCGGCCGGUGGUUGUCCGGGGGUAAGCGUGUAGGCCGGUGUGUUGGCAAAUCCGCACACCGUGAGGCUGAGACGUGAUGCCGAGCCGUUUUCGGUGAAGUGAGUGAUCCCAUGCUGUCGAGAAAAGCCUCUAGCGAGUUCGUGUGUGGCCAGUACCCUAAACCGACGCAGGUGGUCAGGUAGAGAAUACCGAGGCGUUCGGGUGAACCAUGGUUAAGGAACUCGGCAAAUUGUCCCCGUAACUUUGGGAGAAGGGGAGCCCUGUCUGGUGAUGGUCUUUACGGGCCUGAGCUGGGUGGGGUCGCAGAUAGCGGGGGAAGCGACUGUUUAUUAAAAACACAGGUCCGUGCGAAGUCGUAAGACGCUGUUAUACGGACUGACGCCUGCCCGGUGCUGGAACGUUAAGAGGACUGGUUAGUGGUUUCGGCCUGCGAAGCUGGGAAUCUAAGCGCCAGUAAACGGCGGUGGUAACUAUAACCAUCCUAAGGUAGCGAAAUUCCUUGUCGGGUAAGUUCCGACCUGCACGAAUGGCGUAACGGACUUCCCCACUGUCUCAACAUUGGGCCCGCGUGAAAUUGGCACUACGAUAAAAUUGCUCGUUUCGCGCAGCAGGACGGAAAGACCCCGGGACCUUCACUAUAGCUUGACAUUGGUGUUUGGGAUGGUUUGUGUAGGAUAGGUGGGAGCCUGUGAAGUCGUCACGCUAGUGGCGGUGGAGGCGUUGGUGAAAUACCACUCUGACUGUUUCGGGCAUCUAACUUUGGACCGUGAUCCGGUUCGGGGACAGUGUCUGGUGGGUAGUUUAACUGGGGCGGUUGCCUCCCAAAGAGUAACGGAGGCGCC
This 2474-nucleotide ribosomal RNA is filed under the name Nocardiopsis sp. Huas11. Its description in RNAcentral is "bacterial LSU rRNA". It matches the Rfam family "Bacterial large subunit ribosomal RNA", at positions 1 to 2310 of the family's 2925-position model. Lineage: Bacteria; Bacillati; Actinomycetota; Actinomycetes; Streptosporangiales; Nocardiopsidaceae. The record is from RNAcentral.